RNAcentral lists this non-coding RNA (99 nucleotides) under chicken gut metagenome. RNAcentral's name for it is "THF riboswitch". It matches the Rfam family "THF (Tetrahydrofolate) riboswitch aptamer". From Rfam's summary of the family: THF riboswitch presents a pseudoknot that joins P1-P2 and the loop of P3 and two THF binding. The record is from RNAcentral.
GCAGAGUAGGAAAACAGGCGUUAAGUGUUUGACGGACGGGGAGUUGCCGUCAGGACGAAAAACCGGAUGGUUUGCGGUCUGUUUUUCGCAUCCCGCUGC